RNAcentral lists this ribosomal RNA (1522 nucleotides) under metagenome. Its description in RNAcentral is "bacterial SSU rRNA". It matches the Rfam family "Bacterial small subunit ribosomal RNA". The record is from RNAcentral.
AGAGUUUGAUCAUGGCUCAGAUUGAACGCUGGCGGCAGGCCUAACACAUGCAAGUCGAACGGUAACAGGAAGCAGCUUGCUGCUUCGCUGACGAGUGGCGGACGGGUGAGUAAUGUCUGGGAAGCUGCCUGAUGGAGGGGGAUAACUACUGGAAACGGUAGCUAAUACCGCAUAAUGUCGCAAGACCAAAGAGGGGGACCUUCGGGCCUCUUGCCAUCGGAUGUGCCCAGAUGGGAUUAGCUUGUUGGUGGGGUAACGGCUCACCAAGGCGACGAUCCCUAGCUGGUCUGAGAGGAUGACCAGCCACACUGGAACUGAGACACGGUCCAGACUCCUACGGGAGGCAGCAGUGGGGAAUAUUGCACAAUGGGCGCAAGCCUGAUGCAGCCAUGCCGCGUGUAUGAAGAAGGCCUUCGGGUUGUAAAGUACUUUCAGCGGGGAGGAAGGGAGUAAAGUUAAUACCUUUGCUCAUUGACGUUACCCGCAGAAGAAGCACCGGCUAACUCCGUGCCAGCAGCCGCGGUAAUACGGAGGGUGCAAGCGUUAAUCGGAAUUACUGGGCGUAAAGCGCACGCAGGCGGUUUGUUAAGUCAGAUGUGAAAUCCCCGGGCUCAACCUGGGAACUGCAUCUGACACUGGCAAGCUUGAGUCUCGUAGAGGGGGGUAGAAUUCCAGGUGUAGCGGUGAAAUGCGUAGAGAUCUGGAGGAAUACCGGUGGCGAAGGCGGCCCCCUGGACGAAGACUGACGCUCAGGUGCGAAAGCGUGGGGAGCAAACAGGAUUAGAUACCCUGGUAGUCCACGCCGUAAACGAUGUCGACUUGGAGGUUGUGCCCUUGAGGCGUGGCUUCCGGAGCUAACGCGUUAAGUCGACCGCCUGGGGAGUACGGCCGCAAGGUUAAAACUCAAAUGAAUUGACGGGGGCCCGCACAAGCGGUGGAGCAUGUGGUUUAAUUCGAUGCAACGCGAAGAACCUUACCUGGUCUUGACAUCCACGGAAGUUUUCAGAGAUGAGAAUGUGCCUUCGGGAACCGUGAGACAGGUGCUGCAUGGCUGUCGUCAGCUCGUGUUGUGAAAUGUUGGGUUAAGUCCCGCAACGAGCGCAACCCUUAUCCUUUGUUGCCAGCGGUCCGGCCGGGAACUCAAAGGAGACUGCCAGUGAUAAACUGGAGGAAGGUGGGGAUGACGUCAAGUCAUCAUGGCCCUUACGACCAGGGCUACACACGUGCUACAAUGGCGCAUACAAAGAGAAGCGACCUCGCGAGAGCAAGCGGACCUCAUAAAGUGCGUCGUAGUCCGGAUUGGAGUCUGCAACUCGACUCCAUGAAGUCGGAAUCGCUAGUAAUCGUGGAUCAGAAUGCCACGGUGAAUACGUUCCCGGGCCUUGUACACACCGCCCGUCACACCAUGGGAGUGGGUUGCAAAAGAAGUAGGUAGCUUAACCUUCGGGAGGGCGCUUACCACUUUGUGAUUCAUGACUGGGGUGGAGUCGAAACAAGGUAACCGUAGGGGAGCCUGCGGUUG